RNAcentral lists this long non-coding RNA (410 nucleotides) under Capsicum annuum. RNAcentral describes it as "long non-coding RNA (CANN_LNC001040)". The record is from RNAcentral. Lineage: Eukaryota; Viridiplantae; Streptophyta; Magnoliopsida; Solanales; Solanaceae.
UGAACUUGAAAGAGAAACAACAUUAUCAAGAUCUAUUUCAAAGAGAUCAUACAACUCCUUUAACAACAAUUUUAUCCUUUCUGCGACAACAUUAAGUUGAUUCCACAAUGACCUAAGACGAUCUUCUGCUCUUUUCAGUUUCUUCUCUAGAUCAUCAAAUUUCUUGUUUAUUCCUUAUCAUCUCGUGUAGCGUCAUAAAUUUCUUCCGUAUAUCAAAGUAGGGUUUGAACUUUAGUCUAAUAACAAACUAUAAAAAUUAAUGUCUAGAGAUAACUAAAGUACAAUUAACAAUUGAAAGAAAAGAUAGAUAAUUUCAAUUGUUACCUUCAUAUCUGGAGCAAUAGAAAUUUCGAUAAUCCAGAUGUUAUUUUGAUUGGCACUAAUACAUCACUAUGUGGUUUAAAUAGAAG